CAGUAGCCACGGUAAUACGAGGGGGGCAAGCGUUGUUCGGAAUUAUUGGGCGUAAAGGGUGCGUAGGCGGUUUGAUAAGUCUUGUGUGAAAUCUCUGGGCUCAACCCAGAGUCUGCACAGGAAACUGUCGGGCUUGAGUAUUGGAGAGGUGAGUGGAAUUUCCGGUGUAGCGGUGAAAUGCGUAGAUAUCGGAAGGAACACCUGUGGCGAAAGCGGCUCACUGGACAAUUACUGACGCUGAUGCACGAAAGCUAGGGGAGCAAACAGGAUUAGAGACCCCCGUAGUCCCUGUCUCUUAUAA
This 301-nucleotide ribosomal RNA is filed under the name uncultured bacterium. RNAcentral describes it as "partial 16S ribosomal RNA". It matches the Rfam family "Bacterial small subunit ribosomal RNA", at positions 509 to 809 of the family's 1533-position model. The record is from RNAcentral.